UACCAGCACCCCGAGUGGUCGGGACGAUUAUUGGGCCUAAAGCAUCCGUAGCCGGUUCUGCAAGUCUUCCGUUAAAUCCAUCUGCUUAACAGAUGGGCUGCAGAGGAUACUAUAGAGCUAGGAGGCGGGAGAGGCAAGCGGUACUUAGUGGGUAGGGGUAAAAUCCGUUGAUCCACUGAAGACCACCAGUGGCGAAGGCGGCUUGCCAGAACGCACUCGACGGUGAGGGAUGAAAGCUGGGGGAGCAAACCGG
Molecule: ribosomal RNA, 253 nt
Filed under: uncultured bacterium
Lineage: Bacteria
Also listed under: 2 other names
Description: partial 16S ribosomal RNA
Rfam family: Archaeal small subunit ribosomal RNA
Source: RNAcentral